GGCGGGAAGUUGGAGUUUGUAUUUUGCUCGUCAACAUGUUUCGUUUAAAAAUGUUCGGCUUCUCCUCAAAUAAAUCAACCGAACCUACUAACGAGAAAUCCUGGAUUUUGGACUUUGUUCUUGGAAAAAAUUUAAACCCAAAAGGACAAACUGUCAAAGUAUGCAGGCAUGUCACUGGACCCCUGGAUGAUGGGAGUGUAGUCAAGCAAGUCUCCGACUGUUCUGUCUUCAUCAAUGCAGUUUUUACACAAGAAGCCAUUGACAACUACAACUUUGAUGACGAGUCUUGCACACCUCCGGAGUGGGAUCAAGCCAUUCUGAUUGUCAAAGAUUAUCACCUCAAGUUUGUGCCAGCUCCAAGCUCUAGUGACUGUGAAUUUCUUCUGGUCAUCGGCAAGUUUUCACUGCUAGAUGUUCAUGAUGGGUUUUACAGCAAGCACACAGCUAGAGAUUGCAUGGAAGAUCCACAAGUACAGGUGGCAGUCGGUGCAAAGUGGACCCAAUGGAUGGCUGAAAAUAAGGACGAAGAUGCCAAUAAUGAGGAGUCCCAGUACACUGGCACCUGUCAACUGAGCCAGUUGCUGGAGGAGAUCGGACAGCCAGACACACAGACUCACUCUCAGACACAGGGGAGCUUCCAGCUCAACAUACACUCUGACGACAAGAUGAGUGGGCCAGAAGCAGGACCAAGCAAGGCAUUACCUGCACGAGGUCAUCUCAGUGAGGCUGUGUCUGCAAGAGCUCCUCCAGGGGAGACAAUGGUGUCAGCCUUGGCAAGGAUGAAACAGACAACUCCUGUGGCAGACUUGAUUAUCCCCCCUGAACAGCUGGCGAUCCUGGAGGCCCUGGAAGAAUGGAAAGAAGACUACCACCCUCAGCCUUCCCAGGAUACCACGAGUAGUUCUGACUCCUCCAGACCAAACUUCUCACAACCCACUCUGGCAGAAUCUCCAAGGAAGAGGGACCACACCGGUGCGUGCAAGUCCUCCGGCAAAACACGAGACAAGAGUCAACUCCUCAAGCCUCAGUCUCCUGCAAGGACGGACAUGUCAAAGCCCUCCUCUACACCAGAAAGUGAAGCUGGUCAUCGUGAACAGGAACGGGGAGAUGUUCUAUCAGAUGAAACUAGCAUCACAGACAGACAGAUUCAGCCCAGACCUGCUUCUUUCAGUCACAGUGUCCAGGAAGAUGCUGAUGCAGAAUGUCACCAAUAUAGCAACAAAAGAGCAGACGGUCAAGGAACACCCAGAUCCAAAGACGUUUGCAUCCUUAAACCAAAUUCAGCAAACACAAAACCUGGAUAUUUCUCUAUCAAAGGGAUAUCUAGGUUCUUGAAUAACAAUGAGAGUCCACGGGAUAAGAGGAUACCUUUAGCAGAAGUUCAAGGACAGUCAAGGAUAACGGAUACACCUGAGGAGCAAGUGGGGCAGAACGCUGACAGUGUGCAUCAGUAUGAUAGAUCACCGAAAGGAUUCACGGCAGAGUACAUGAAGUUUUUAGAUUCAUCUAACAAAUUCAAGAAAGGUUAUCGGAGUGAUUCAUCUAACAAAUCCAAGAUGGUUGAUAAAAGUGAUUCAUCUGACAAAUCCAAGAUGGUUGAUAAAAGUGAUUCAUCUAACAAAUCCAAGAUGGCUGAUAAAAGUGAUUCAUCUGACAAAUCCAAGAUGGCUGAUCAAAGUGAUUCAUCUGACAAAUCCAAGAUGGCUGAUAAAAGUGAUUCAUGUAACAGUGAUAUUUGCGUCAUUGAUGUUGUGACCCUGUGCAGUCUGCCAACAGCCUGGCACAAGUCAAGUGCAGACUCUGUGGAGUUUUCCUGUUCCCUGCCAGAAGAUUCUCAGAACUCGCAAGACUCACAGAUCUCGAUGAGCUCACAAAGCUGUCCUAGCUCACAGACAUCGCAGAGUUCUCAGACAGGUGCACCGACUGAUGCAGAACAUGGAGCAGGAGACACUGACAUGUCACGCACCUCUGAUCUCAUUGCAGACAUGCAGGAGUCAACCAAGGCUCUUAGAAACAGGUCUGGGAAAUUGUCUGCUUCAUCUAGGUUGGUUUCGAUAUCAGAGGACUGUCAGUCAGAGAUACAGGCCAGGGAGACAGAACCUGCAGCUGGCCGAGGAAAAGGUUCACACCCUGAUACAAGACGAGUCUCCUUUGCCCCGUCUGCAGUGAUGAAAUACCCCUCGCUAGAUCUUGACAAGGUUGGUUCAACGCAACCCUUUGAUGUGGUGAACGACUCCACGUAUUCCAUGUACGAAGAUGCCAAAUCUCACUUGUCCACCCCAGAUCCUCUACCUCGAACAACAAGUCACCUUGACUUCCCCGAGUCCCAGCCAUUUGUGCCUUUCAGCCAGGAUUUGUUAGUCUCUGAUUCAGUUGAGGACAAGAGCAGAAGUAACAGUGACCCGUGUACACAAAAGGACUAUACUGAUGUUGUUUGUGAUUCUGUUGAACAUCUGACUGAUGCGCACUCAACUGGAUACAGUGAGACAGUUAUUAAUGACACUUCCUUCCAUCACUCCACACAGACAUCUGGAGUGACAAGAAAGUCAACACCAGACUUUCUUAUUUCACCUAUUAGAAGAGUGACAAGAAAUAGCAGAGUAGACUCAUCAGACAAUGGUGAUAAAUCAGGCAGCGACAGUGUGUUUGACAGUGCGCUAGAUCUGCCUAAAAGUCAGCGCACUUCAGUUGUCGUAGAGUGUGUGGUCCUAGAAGGAGAAAGUCAGAAACAUUCAACUGUGGACAAAGCUGUAUCCCAGCGUUCUGCUCUAAGAUCUGAAGAAUCUGUGGAGAAAACUGCUUCCCAGCCAAAACAGAAAUUAUUCAUGCAUAAGUCACCUUCGCAUGAUCAUCCCAGUUUUGACGAAUCUGAUUCUCUAGAACGUAUUCCCCUGUCUCAUGGACAGUGUAAAGGUGGAAAUACUGGUGCCGUGGAAACAGUGGAGGGAUUGUGCACCCCUGAAACUGACCCAGAAACCACCACCACAAAGGUUCUGACAAGAUCAAAAAGUAAAAAGAACUUCACUGGGUCAUCCCAUUCCAGGCAGUCAACAUCAGACCCUGAAACCUCCUUGGGUAGAAACAGAAGAAAACCGGUCCAUAAUUUGAAGGAAAACAUAACAGAAAAAUUGGUUCGAUCACCGGGACUUGACAAGCAGAAUCAGUCUGCUAAGGAAUCAGACUUAGAUCUGUCGGAUAAAAAGUCUGAUUCUGAAAUUGUUAUUGAGGAAUACUCUACUGAUUCAGAUGUGAGUAAGGUUGGUACGCAAGACCAAAGCCGGAAAGAUUCACUUAAAAGUGGUGGAACGAAAGAUGAGAGUGCUUCUGGUGGUGAAGACAUCAGAGCAGACGUCAGUAUCACCAUGGAUGUGGACAGUGGCCAGAAAGCUGGACCUUCACGCACAGAGGGUGAUGUUUCUAUGGACGACAGCGUCAUCCUGGUGGAGGAUGAGGAUGAGGAACAUGCUGAGGAGAUAACAGAAGCAGCAGAGCCACCAUCAAUAUCUGGCAAAGAACUCAGGAGUUCAAACAUUGGGAAGAGGGGUUCACAGAAACCCUCUGAUAAUCAUCCAGACAGUCAAGGAUAUCAUAAUAUUCUGGAGAAGUAUAUCACUACGAGAAGAACACGGUCUUCCAAACAAGAUAAUAAUGAUGCAGAUGGUGUUGCUCCACCGAAGCUGAGGAGCUCAAGAGCUGUUGUUCCUGGUCCCGAGGGAGAUGCAUCAAGUCAGGCCAAGAUAUCACCAAAAUGUACCCAAAACAGCGUGGAGAAGAUUGGCACAAGGAGACAUGGUACCGGGAAGUCUGUUAAUGAUGCUGAUAAGAAGACUAAGAAGAGGAGUAAACUACAGCAUCAGGAAGUACCUGAGAGUCAAGGUCAGGAAGAGGAUCAAGGACCAGAACGUGGUCAGGUGCAGAACAAAGUCAUUGAGGUAGAUGAUGCUGAGAAGGAUCCAAGGAAGAAGAAGAAAAAGAAGGAAGUUGAAAUAAUGUUUGAAAAAGCAGUUAAGAAGUAUGGCCUGAUUGGAAGUGUAUCCAAAGGGUGGAAAUCUGAAAAAUGUUACGGCAAACAACAGCAAAGUGUAAGCAGAGCUAACAAGAAGGAUGAAGAGGAGUGGUCGCAGGUGUUGUGUGAGGCUGAUGGUGCAACUAGAUGUGCAGGACGACAGGAAUCUAGAGAUGGUGCUCGCAAGGUUCAUCCGCCACAAGUGAGAGAGAGUAGUCCUAGUGGGCAGCUCAAAGACAUACAUGCUGGAGGUGCAGGACGACAGGAAUCUAGAGAUGGUGCUCGCAAGGUUCAUCAGCCACAAGUGAGAGAGAGUAGUCCUGGUGGUCAGCUCAAAGACAUACAUACUGAUGAUGGAACUAGUCAAGAACUAGCUGUGGACAGUGACAUGCAUGAGAUAACUGACCAGCUUGACAUUGAGAACAUCCCAAUACAUUUGGAGAGAGGGACAAGGGAAUUGAAGCAGAGUAAGAGAACACCUGCUCAGCCUAAAAGAAAGCAGAUGAAAGGCAUUAUGCCAGAACCAUAUUGUAGAGAUGUGCCCGGCCCCCGACAGCCAAGUGUCGGCACCUGGGACGAGGGCAGGAAGGCUGUAUGCAGGAGGGUGUCCAGCAUCAGGCGGGAGUCUGGCAUCGACAGCAGCCAGGAUGUCCCAACAACACAGGUCCUGUUGGACUUCCUGGAGAUGCAGCCUCCAGAACAUCAGCCUUUGCUGGACCUCCGGGUCCCCCCCGAUCUACUGCAUAAGAUCUGCAGCAUCUACAGGAAACCCAUCUCGUAUCCCCACUGAAGAUUAACUCCCCUUGUAGAGUUGGUUCGUGUCUUGAUGUAUUGAAUGUUGAGACCAAGUUGAUUAUCUUACUUCAGAGAUACUGAGAAAUAUACUUAAUAUGCAGCACUAUGAAAUGUUAUUCAGGUGUAUUGCAAAUAUUUACUUUCAGAAGUUCUGUGUUAAGGGUCCUACAAGUACACUGACAAGUAGGCUAAAGUGGGUUCAGGGUCAGUGCUAUUAAUUGUUGUUGCCCGACUAUUGUGUUGAUAAUCUGAGUUUCAUUUUCUUGUUUAUGUUCAUGUUGAGAAUAUUCCCUGCAAUAAUUGUGAUGUUUCUGUAUGAUGGCAAAGUAUGAUGAGUGACUUACUACCACUCUGUGUUGUCCAACAAUUUAUUGUUCCAUUUGAUCAGGAAAAUGUACAUUGUAUUGAUUAUGAAUAAACAAAUGUGUGCCUUGUUCUAA
This is an RNA transcript of Haliotis rufescens (red abalone), 5241 nucleotides long. It is a transcript of the gene named dentin sialophosphoprotein-like, with no coding region annotated. Lineage: Eukaryota; Metazoa; Mollusca; Gastropoda; Lepetellida; Haliotidae. The transcript has 12 exons. The record is from RefSeq and is a predicted model, not a curated record.